CUUUGUGACCCCAUGACUCCAUGGAAUUCUCCAGGCCAGAAUACUGGUGUGGGUAGCCUUUCCCUUCUCCAAGGGAUCUUCCCAACCCAGAGAUUGAACCCAGGUCUCCUGCAUUACAGGCAGAUUCUUUACCAGCUGAGCCACAAUGGAAGCCCAAGAAUACUGGAGUGGGUAGUUUAUCCCUUCUCCAGUGGAUUUUCCCUCCCAAGAGUCAACCCAGGGUCUCCUGCAUUGCAUGCAGAUUCUUUACCAACUGAGCUAUCAGGGAAACCCCUCAGAGGCUGUAAGGAGACAGUCAACCCCAAGUGCUGCCUGAGGGGGCUCCUGGAAAGUAUCAUCCUAGGGACAUGACACCCUCUGACAACCUGCCUUCCUUUAUAGGGCAGCGUCUGGGGUGCUGACCCCAGCCAUCGACGUGAGACGCUGGCCCUGCAGUGCAGCCCAGCCCCUCAGUGGUGAAUCAGUGCAUGUGGACACAGGGCUGCCAUAAACAAGUACUGCAAACCAAGUGGCUUAAACAACAGAAACCUAUUUGUUCACAGUCCUGGAGGCUGGAAGUCCUCAAUCAAGGCUUCUUCCUUGGGCUUGUGUUGGCCAGCCUUCAUUCCAAGUGGAAGAUACACCCCCUGAGUUUACAACUCAGGAACAGAAGAGCUGAGUGUCUCUAAAGCACUGGCGAAGUUUACAAGCCAAAAAUCACGCCUGUUUGAAGAACUGCCUGG
Long non-coding RNA from Bos taurus (domestic cattle), 722 nucleotides. NCBI's taxonomy places the organism in Eukaryota, Metazoa, Chordata, Mammalia, Artiodactyla, Bovidae. The record is from Ensembl.